GGGCGUGUAACUCAGCGGUAGGUUCUAUUCCAAAUGCCAACAAUUUCAUUUUCUGAAGCUUUGCAGGUUAGAGUGUGGGAUUGCAGCUUUCGCGUAAUAUCCCAAGGUCGUUGGUUCGAGUCCGGCCACGCCCU
This 134-nucleotide transfer RNA is filed under the name Ramalina farinacea. Its description in RNAcentral is "tRNA-Cys". Lineage: Eukaryota; Fungi; Ascomycota; Lecanoromycetes; Lecanorales; Ramalinaceae. The record is from RNAcentral.